CCUACGGGAGGCAGCAGUGAGGAAUAUUGGUCAAUGGGCUAAGGCCUGAACCAGCCAAGUCGCGUGAGGGAAGACGGUCCUAUGGAUUGUAAACCUCUUUUGUCGGGGAGCAAAGAGGCCACGUGUGGCCGAAGCGAGAGUACCCGAAGAAAAAGCAUCGGCUAACUCCGUGCCAGCAGCCGCGGUAAUACGGAGGAUGCGAGCGUUAUCCGGAUUUAUUGGGUUUAAAGGGUGCGCAGGCGGAACAUUAAGUCAGCGGUAAAAUCGAGGGGCUCAACCCCUUUAAGCCGUUGAAACUGGGUAUCUUGAGUGGGCGAGAAGUAUGCGGAAUGCGUGGUGUAGCGGUGAAAUGCAUAGAUAUCACGCAGAACUCCGAUUGCGAAGGCAGCAUACCGGCGCCCGACUGACGCUGAGGCACGAAAGCGUGGGGAUCGAACAGGAUUAGAUACCCUGGUAGUC
RNAcentral lists this ribosomal RNA (459 nucleotides) under uncultured bacterium. Its description in RNAcentral is "partial 16S ribosomal RNA". It matches the Rfam family "Bacterial small subunit ribosomal RNA", at positions 338 to 795 of the family's 1533-position model. The record is from RNAcentral.